AAUCUAUGCUGUGGACACUUCUACAAAAGAUCCUUGAAUUGCACCCAUGUCUCAAACAAGGACUCGAGCUCUAUCUGAACAAAUGACGAUAUCUUAUUGUGAAGCUU
Small nucleolar RNA from Dioscorea cayenensis subsp. rotundata (Guinea yam), 107 nucleotides. The record is from RefSeq and is a predicted model, not a curated record. Lineage: Eukaryota; Viridiplantae; Streptophyta; Magnoliopsida; Dioscoreales; Dioscoreaceae.